This 585-nucleotide ribosomal RNA is filed under the name uncultured bacterium. Its description in RNAcentral is "partial 16S ribosomal RNA". It matches the Rfam family "Bacterial small subunit ribosomal RNA", at positions 355 to 1375 of the family's 1533-position model. The record is from RNAcentral.
UGGGGAAUUUUGGACAAUGGGGGCAACCCUGAUCCAGCCAUCCCGCGUGUGCGAUGAAGGCCUUCGGGUUGUAAAGCACUUUUGGCAGGGAAGAAACGGCGCGGGCUAAUAACCUGUGCUAAUGACGGUACCUGCAGAAUAAGCACCGGCUAACUACGUGCCAGCAGCCGCGGUAAUACGUAGGGUGCAAGCGUUAAUCGGAAUUACUGGGCGUAAAGCGUGCGCAGGCGGUUCGGAAAGAAAGGUGUGAAAUCCCAGGGCUUAACCUUGGAACUGCACUUUUAACUACCGGGCUAGAGUACGUCAGAGGGGGGUAGAAUUCCACGUGUAGCAGUGAAAUGCGUAGAGAUGUGGAGGAAUACCGAUGGCGAAGGCAGCCCCCUGGGAUGAUACUGACGCUCAUGCACGAAAGCGUGGGGAGCAAACAGGAUUAGAUACCCUGGUAGUCCACGCCCUAAACGAUGUCAACUAGCUGUUGGGGUUUAUUAACCUUAGUAGCGCAGCCAACGCGUGAAGUUGACCGCCUGGGGAGUACGGUCGCAAGAUUAAAACUCAAAGGAAUUGACGGGGUCAUAGCUGUUUCCU